UUUUAGGUGAGAGAAAAAAAGGAGGAAAAUGUCUUUACCCAGAUGGUCGUAAAUCUCUGCAAUUCUUUACCCAAGAGAGCCAUGAAUUUUGAGGCAUUUAAGAUAUUUUAAACUGAGCCUAAUCUAUUUUUAGAUAAUAAGCCAGUGUUAAUAAAGAUAAGCAUGAA
Molecule: long non-coding RNA, 167 nt
Organism: Amblyraja radiata (thorny skate)
Lineage: Eukaryota; Metazoa; Chordata; Chondrichthyes; Rajiformes; Rajidae
Exons: 3
Source: RefSeq, a predicted model, not a curated record